GAUGAACGCUGGCGGCGUGCCUAAUACAUGCAAGUCGAGCGAACGGACGAGAAGCUUGCUUCUCUGAUGUUAGCGGCGGACGGGUGAGUAACACGUGGAUAACCUACCUAUAAGACUGGGAUAACUUCGGGAAACCGGAGCUAAUACCGGAUGAUAUUUUGAACCGCAUGGUUCAACAGUGAAAGACGGUCUUGCUGUCACUUAUAGAUGGAUCCGCGCUGCAUUAGCUAGUUGGUAAGGUAACGGCUUACCAAGGCAACGAUGCAUAGCCGACCUGAGAGGGUGAUCGGCCACACUAGAACUGAGACACGGUCCAGACUCCUACGGGAGGCAGCAGUAGGGAAUCUUCCGCAAUGGGCGAAAGCCUGACGGAGCAACGCCGCGUGAGUGAUGAAGGUCUUCGGAUCGUAAAACUCUGUUAUUAGGGAAGAACAUAUGUGUAAGUAACUGUGCACAUCUUGACGGUACCUAAUCAGAAAGCCACGGCUAACUACGUG
RNAcentral lists this ribosomal RNA (497 nucleotides) under uncultured bacterium. RNAcentral's name for it is "partial 16S ribosomal RNA". It matches the Rfam family "Bacterial small subunit ribosomal RNA", at positions 28 to 507 of the family's 1533-position model. The record is from RNAcentral.